GCCUCGGUAGCUCAGUUGGUAGAGCAAAGGACUGAAAAUCCCUGUGUCCGCAGUUCGAUUCUGCGCUGAGGCACCA
This 76-nucleotide transfer RNA is filed under the name Phascolarctobacterium sp. Its description in RNAcentral is "tRNA-Phe". It matches the Rfam family "tRNA". Rfam says of the family: Transfer RNA (tRNA) molecules are approximately 80 nucleotides in length. Their secondary structure includes four short double-helical elements and three loops (D, anti-codon, and T loops). The record is from RNAcentral. Lineage: Bacteria; Bacillati; Bacillota; Negativicutes; Acidaminococcales; Acidaminococcaceae.